This 1458-nucleotide ribosomal RNA is filed under the name uncultured anaerobic ammonium-oxidizing bacterium. RNAcentral's name for it is "bacterial SSU rRNA". It matches the Rfam family "Bacterial small subunit ribosomal RNA". The record is from RNAcentral.
GAACGAGGAUAUAUCCUUCGGGAUAUAAGCCGAGUGGCGCAAGGGUGAGUAAUGCAUAGAUUACCUGCCUCUAGGAUAAGGACAACUUUGUGAAAACGAAGCUAAUACUUAAUAAUACAAAAGAAAAUAAUUUUCUUUUGUCAAUGGGAGGGUAGCAAUACCUUUUGCCUAGAGAGGGGCUUAUGUCCUAUCAGCUUGUUGGUGGGGUAAUGGCCUGCCAAGGCGAAGACGGGUAGCCGGUCUUAGAGGAUGGUCGGCCACACUGGGACUGAGACACUGCCCAGACUUCUACGGAAGGCUGCAGUCGAGAAUCUUUCGCAAUGCCCGAAAGGGUGACGAAGCGACGCCGCGUGAGUGAGGAAGGCCUUAGGGUUGUAAAGCUCUGUCAGGAGUUAAGAAAUAUAAGUGUGUUAAUACCACGUUUAUUUGACGAAGGCUCCAAAGGAAGCCACGGCUAACUCUGUGCCAGCAGCCGCGGUAAUACAGAGGUGGCAAGCGUUGUUCGGAAUUAUUGGGCGUAAAGAGCACGUAGGUGGGUUUGUAAGUCAGAUGUGAAAGCCUUCUGUUCAACGGAAGAAUUGCAUCUGAAACUGCAAGUCUUGAGUGUAGGAGGGGAGAAUGGAACUUCUGGUGGAGCGGUGAAAUGCGUAGAUAUCAGAAGGAACGCCGGCGGCGAAAGCGAUUCUCUGGCCUAUUACUGACGCUCAGUGUGCGAAAGCUAGGGGAGCAAACGGGAUUAGAUACCCCGGUAGUCCUAGCCGUAAACGAUGGGCACUAAGUAGAGGGAAUUACCGAUGUUCUCUCUGCCGUAGCUAACGCAUUAAGUGCCCCGCCUGGGGAGUACGGCCGCAAGGCUAAAACUCAAAAGAAUUGACGGGGGCUCGCACAAGCGGUGGAGCAUGUGGCUUAAUUCGAUGCAACGCGAAAAACCUUACCGGGGCUUGACAUGGUAGAAGUAGGAACCCGAAAGGGUAACGAACGGUAUCCAGUCCAUAGCUAUCACAGGUGUUGCAUGGCUGUCGUCAGCUCGUGUCGUGAGACGUUGGGUUAAGUCCCCUAACGAGCGAAACCCUUGUUUUUAGUUACCAGCGGGUUAUGCCGGGUACUCUAGAAAGACUGCCGUCGUCAAGACGGAGGAAGGUGGGGAUGACGUCAAGUCAUCAUGGCCCUUAUGCCCCGGGCUGCACACGUGCUACAAUGGUCGGUACAAACGGAAGCGAAGCCGAGAGGUGAAGCGAAUCCUAAAAAGCCGAUCUCAGUUCGGAUUGGAGGCUGAAAUUCGCCUCCAUGAAGUUGGAAUCGCUAGUAAUCGCGGAUCAGCAAUGCCGCGGUGAAUAUGUUCCCGAGCCCUGUACACACCGCCCGUCAAGCCACCCAAGCAGGAUGCACCCGAAAACAUUAUAUCUAACCAGGGCAACUUGGAGGAAAGUGUUGAAGGAGUGUUUUGUGAGGAGGACU